RNAcentral lists this small nuclear RNA (133 nucleotides) under Mesocricetus auratus (golden hamster). Its description in RNAcentral is "U1 spliceosomal RNA (ENSMAUG00000007837.1)". It matches the Rfam family "U1 spliceosomal RNA". Rfam says of the family: U1 is a small nuclear RNA (snRNA) component of the spliceosome (involved in pre-mRNA splicing). Its 5' end forms complementary base pairs with the 5' splice junction, thus defining the 5' donor site of an intron. The record is from RNAcentral. Lineage: Eukaryota; Metazoa; Chordata; Mammalia; Rodentia; Cricetidae.
AUACUCACCAGGCAGGGAGAUCCAGGAUGAUGUGCAUCCAUUGCAUUCCAGAUGUGCUGACCCCUGUGAUUUCUACAAGUGCCAGAAACUCAACUGCAUAGCUUGUUGGGGGCUUUCUUUCCACGUUCCCCGU